CUGGUUUCUAGUGGCGGACGGGUGAGUAACGCGUGGGUAACCUGCCUUAUACAGGGGGAUAACAACCAGAAAUGGUUGCUAAUACCGCAUAAGCGCACAGGACCGCAUGGUCCGGUGUGAAAAACUCCGGUGGUAUAAGAUGGACCCGCGUUGGAUUAGCUAGUUGGCGGGGUAACGGCCUACCAAGGCGACGAUCCAUAGCCGGCCUGAGAGGUGAACGGCCACAUUGGGACUGAGACACGGCCCAGACUCCUACGGGAGGCAGCAUG
This 269-nucleotide ribosomal RNA is filed under the name uncultured bacterium. RNAcentral describes it as "partial 16S ribosomal RNA". It matches the Rfam family "Bacterial small subunit ribosomal RNA", at positions 85 to 353 of the family's 1533-position model. The record is from RNAcentral.